GAUCGGGUGCCGGAAUGGUUACGGCUCGGACUGCAAAUCCGAAGCAUGUCGGUUCGAUCCCGACCCCGAUCUCCA
RNAcentral lists this transfer RNA (75 nucleotides) under Rhizobium sp. NXC14. RNAcentral's name for it is "tRNA-Cys". It matches the Rfam family "tRNA". From Rfam's summary of the family: Transfer RNA (tRNA) molecules are approximately 80 nucleotides in length. The record is from RNAcentral. Lineage: Bacteria; Pseudomonadati; Pseudomonadota; Alphaproteobacteria; Hyphomicrobiales; Rhizobiaceae.